GGCAACUCCUGGCUCUGGUUGUGAGCUGCCCCUGGCAGUCUGGUUUUGAGUAGCUCCUGGCACUGGUUCUGAGCUACUCCUGGAAAACUAGCUAGUAUUCUGGUCUGUGUUAUAUGUAGAAUUGUAUUCUGUGUUAAUGGUUUUCCAAA
Non-coding RNA from Ceratotherium simum simum (southern white rhinoceros), 149 nucleotides. The record is from RefSeq and is a predicted model, not a curated record. Lineage: Eukaryota; Metazoa; Chordata; Mammalia; Perissodactyla; Rhinocerotidae.